UUUCCAACAUAUCAGAAGAGAGACUUUUGUAGUCACAAGCUAUAAUUUGAUUAAGCAUAAAACUUUCUAAAAAUAUCUAUUACACUUCUUAAAAAUCCCUAAACUUUUUCCUUGUAAAACUAAAAACACAGGUACAUUAUUGGUUCCUAAGUCACAAAGUAAAAUUUUGGCAUUCUAUAAACCUAAGGAGAAAGAAAACAAAUUCUGCACUUCCACAAGCACAUACAAUACCACUUUAUACAUAAGAGUAACUUUGCUGGAUCUCAUAUACCGGCCAGUGUAUCGAAGUAGUAUAUCUGAGUUUCAGUAGAAUAUCGCAAUGCAUGUCAUACUUAUUGCUCUCGUGGUCUGGCAAGCCAAAGAGAGCUGAGAGCUCGAAGACGUGAGAAGUAUUCACUUAUUGCAAGAAGAGCACGGGCUGAUUGUCUGGUUGUCAAUAUGCGAUGCAUUUGUUGCAAUGUCUGUUGACGCAGGUUGUCCGCCUGACGGAGAAAACCUUCAAGAGUCCCUAAUUUCCCCAUAGCCAUUGCCAUCUGACCCAUAUAAUUAGCUACAUCUCCUGAUGACCCUUCAGUAGCAGGAGAUCCGUUAGCUAAUGUCUCUGCCAAGGAUUGCUGCAACGCCUCCAUACCUUGUGAAAGGGCAUCUUCUGCUUGAUGGGAUGACUGCUGCAAGUUGUAAAUGCCAGCUAACUGUUGCUCGGUCAGAGGCUCCAACUGAUUGACUAGAAGCUUAAGAAGUUCCGAGGGGCGGAAGCCACCAAUCCACAUAAAACAUCGCUCGGCAGGGGUUUUCCACAUCCCUGACAAGACAUGGAAUACGUCUGCCUUGGCUGCAUUUCCUUUCACCCUAAAGACCUCAUCGUAAUGUGCAGUGACAUUAUUCACAAUACUUCGCAGUUCAGGGUCACUUGCAUGUGAAUUGACAGCGGUUCUCAAUUCAUUGAUGUGUUUGUUGUGUUCUUCUAACCAUCGACUAUAUUCUGCAUCAAAUGCUAAGGUCCCACUGGCGCCCGCUCCAUUUGAUUGAUCUGCCAUGUUUGAGAUGUACUUCCCCUGUUGACGUGCUCGCUGAAGGUCCUGCUCCAACUGUGAUAGCUUCAACCGGCUAUUCUCCAGCUGUUGUACAUAUGCUUUUUUCCUCAGUCUACUUUUUCUAGCAGCUUCACGAUUUUGGGCAAGUCUCCGCAAUGUCUUCUGAUCCAAGACUUUUUCUUUUGAUUUGUCACUGGAAUCAGAAGCUGCAAUAGCCCUGGAUUGACCCGUCUCAAUCCUUUGAUUUCUAUCAUCUCCAUCCAUGUCAGUUGAAGUAUCAGUGCGAGAACCAGAAUCUGCCAUGUUGGACUCGCCCCAAUUCUCAGGAUGAGUGCCAGCUGCAGGAACUAAGUUUGAUUGCAAUUGUAUUACAUGAGAUCCUGGAGCAGCAGUAGACAAACUUGUAUUUGAAGGAGCUAAAUUCCUAUUGAUGGUCCCAGAGACGUCAAAUCCCACUGCUGGAUUAGCUGCAGAUGUAGAAUUAAAUAGGGGACUUCGAUUAACAUUAACACCAUCUCCAAUACGGAAUCCAAGAUAUUGCUCAAGCACCCCAAAUUCAGACAUUCGAGAAGUAUUUGUAUUGUUCCCUUCUGUGCCCAUGUGAUUUUUUGAAACUGGAAUCUGAGAAAUGAAACUUGGCAUCCCAAAAUUACCACUCUUAUAGCCUUUUCUACCAAUCUUCACAUCAUCAUCAACAAUCCACAACCUCAGUUCAUACACUCAAAAACUCUACAAUAACAAAAUCAAACUACAAACCCCUUUCAAACAGUUGACUAAAUACAAAAACUUCCAAAAGCAACCGCUUAAAACUUUAACACAUACACCAUUAAAAUCAAGAAAACCCCAAAAAGAAAAAAAACAGCUGUGCAUAAACCCUCACUUCAAACAACAAAAAGGUCAAAACUUUAUCAAAACCCAACUACCCCUUCAUCAAAAUGAGUUAAUAUCUAAUACCCAAAGCUUAAAAUUAAUAAAAUAAAAUAAAAAACUCAAGAAAAUUGAAUUUUCUACAACCCCACUUCGUAUAAAAACUAAAUAAACCAAAGCUUAGAGUGG
This 2090-nucleotide unclassified non-coding RNA is filed under the name Hevea brasiliensis (rubber tree). The record is from RNAcentral. Lineage: Eukaryota; Viridiplantae; Streptophyta; Magnoliopsida; Malpighiales; Euphorbiaceae.